RNAcentral lists this ribosomal RNA (619 nucleotides) under Escherichia coli. RNAcentral's name for it is "partial 23S ribosomal RNA". It matches the Rfam family "Bacterial large subunit ribosomal RNA", at positions 2324 to 2925 of the family's 2925-position model. Lineage: Bacteria; Pseudomonadati; Pseudomonadota; Gammaproteobacteria; Enterobacterales; Enterobacteriaceae. The record is from RNAcentral.
AUCCUGGUCGGACAUCAGGAGGUUAGUGCAAUGGCAUAAGCCAGCUUGACUGCGAGCGUGACGGCGCGAGCAGGUGCGAAAGCAGGUCAUAGUGAUCCGGUGGUUCUGAAUGGAAGGGCCAUCGCUCAACGGAUAAAAGGUACUCCGGGGAUAACAGGCUGAUACCGCCCAAGAGUUCAUAUCGACGGCGGUGUUUGGCACCUCGAUGUCGGCUCAUCACAUCCUGGGGCUGAAGUAGGUCCCAAGGGUAUGGCUGUUCGCCAUUUAAAGUGGUACGCGAGCUGGGUUUAGAACGUCGUGAGACAGUUCGGUCCCUAUCUGCCGUGGGCGCUGGAGAACUGAGGGGGGCUGCUCCUAGUACGAGAGGACCGGAGUGGACGCAUCACUGGUGUUCGGGUUGUCAUGCCAAUGGCACUGCCCGGUAGCUAAAUGCGGAAGAGAUAAGUGCUGAAAGCAUCUAAGCACGAAACUUGCCCCGAGAUGAGUUCUCCCUGAGACUUAGAGUCUCCUGAAGGAACGUUGAAGACGACGACGUUGAUAGGCCGGGUGUGUAAGCGCAGCGAUGCGUUGAGCUAACCGGUACUAAUGAACCGUGAGGCUUAACCUUACAACGCCGAAG